GGUGCACUUCAAGAAAACCUUCACUACUUCUCUCCACAGGCAGACCCAUGUGAUGUGAAUGAACAGAGAUGACAGACUUCUGUCUAAACGUACAGUUUCCCCGUGCCCCCGAUAAACAGAUCGCCCGUGCAUCUGAAGCAGAGUUUCAAAGCACCAGUUACACUAGGACUGUGUGUACCUAACGUUAGGAUUUUUUUCUUGUCUCUUCCUUAAAGUGUUCCCUCCCCCGGCCUCCCCCUCCCCCUCGGGCUCUUUCGUGGGAAUCGAUGCCGGGAGAAACUGCUUCUACCUGCAAGAAAGGCGCCGCUGGCACUUGGGGACGGGAGAGCUCCGCCGGCACCGGAUCACUGGAGGUAAACAUCGAAUUAAUUGGAUCUGAAUGACUGAGGCAGGACAGCGCUUUCAACCGGGGCUUUGUUCGAACUGUCUGGCUUGAAACACUGUUGCCCGGACCAGUCUGAAGGCGGAAGAUUGUCCAGACCGCGCUGGUGCCCGUCCCCUGGGGCAGGGCGCCUUUCCCUGCGGGUGGAGAAGGAUGCAGGGUCAGCUCCACAGAGGGAAGAGAGAGGAGACCGAAAGACAAAGCGCACGGACAUGUGCCUUCCAAGCACAACAGGACAGAGGAGCGCAUCCUGAGAGCUAGGAAACAUUUCUCAUCCAAAUGAAAAAAUAAUGCCCUCCUACUGCAUCUGCAAUUUCCUUUGCAACAAAAACAUGCGUAAAAUGGGCACGGUAGAUAGCAAAGACCUAUCAAUUUCUUUCUCUAGUUCUGCUAAUAAAUAAACUUCUAAAUGUUUGAAACACUCUAUCUGUCACAUUCACAAGAUAGGUACUGUAAAUUCCUGUUGCAAAUAUACAAACAGAGAUCCAAGAGGUUGCCUCUGUUUUUGUAUAUAUUUCUCUCAAGAAAUGCACUAUCAAAACAUUAAUUAUAUUUGAAAGGGAGCAGAUUAUUUGUUUGAGAAAGAAUUACAUUCUUGAAUUUAUAUUCCACGCAGAUCUCUCCUCCUAUCUGCCGAGAGGGUUGAACUGUAAAUCUGUCUCAAAUGAUGUACCCCUAAAAUGUAGGUAGGUGUGUCACAUUAGAGUUGUAGAGAGAUGGGAGAUAAUCUGUAGGUGCUUUUAGACACCUCUGUAGGAUGGAUCGUUAGGGAAUGUCGAAAUCAACAUGAAAUUGCAGAUCUUACAUGUGAAGAACAUACACCCUUAUUCUUUGACAAUGGAAAUACAAACACACAUAGGCACUCAGGGAUGAUCCUAGCUAGUUAUUAAACACUGUGACUCACGGGAGUUUGGGCCUACAGUUCCUGUUUAUUUUUAAAAUGCCACAUGCACAUCUUGCGGUAGCUGAUAGCUGAAAAGCUACCAGCCAUGUGAGUCAUCAACCAUCAUUUAAAGAUUUUGUCUUAUUUCCUGCU
Long non-coding RNA from Dromaius novaehollandiae (emu), 1418 nucleotides. RefSeq lists it as uncharacterized. The record is from RefSeq and is a predicted model, not a curated record. NCBI's taxonomy places the organism in Eukaryota, Metazoa, Chordata, Aves, Casuariiformes, Dromaiidae. The transcript is spliced from 4 exons.